RNAcentral lists this ribosomal RNA (333 nucleotides) under uncultured eukaryote. RNAcentral describes it as "partial 18S ribosomal RNA". It matches the Rfam family "Eukaryotic small subunit ribosomal RNA", at positions 1470 to 1796 of the family's 1831-position model. The record is from RNAcentral.
CCCUUAGAUGUCCUGGGCCGCACGCGCGUUACACUGAUGCAUUCAACGAGCUUAUAACCUUGGCCGAGAGGCCUGGGCAAUCUUGUUAACGUGCAUCGUGAUAGGGAUAGAUUAUUGAAAUUAUUAAUCUUGAACGAGGAAUUCCUAGUAAACGCAGAUCAUCAAUCUGCAUUGAUUACGUCCCUGCCCUUUGUACACACCGCCCGUCGCUACUACCGAUUGAAUGGUUUAGCGAGAUCUUCGGAUUGGCGCCACUGCGGCUCAGCAAUGGGCUCGGUGGAUGCCGAAAAGUUGAUCAAACUUGAUCAUUUAGAGGAAGUAAAAGUCGUAACA